AAGGCUGUAGUACCUCAUGUUUCGCCCAUCGAGAGGGCUAUGAUUAAUAUUCUACGUGGACAAAGCUUUAUGGAUGAAGAGUGCAAAAGGAUAACCGCGGCUGCAAUGAUUUUGUCUGAGGGCUUGGAAACUGAGACACGUUCCUAGUUACAGAAAGGAGAAAUUCACAAAGCCAAAAUAGCGCAAGAUUCAAGAAUUGCCGAGUAUGAACAGGAAAUAUCUUAUAAGCAA
Molecule: long non-coding RNA, 231 nt
Organism: Syzygium oleosum
Lineage: Eukaryota; Viridiplantae; Streptophyta; Magnoliopsida; Myrtales; Myrtaceae
Exons: 3
Source: RefSeq, a predicted model, not a curated record